Non-coding RNA from Cinara cedri, 469 nucleotides. Lineage: Eukaryota; Metazoa; Arthropoda; Insecta; Hemiptera; Aphididae. The record is from the annotation of a GenBank genome assembly.
UUCAAGUGUAUAACUAAAAUAGAUCACCAAUAAUCCAGAUGACUUUCUUAUGUAAACAUGAUAAAUGAGUACUUUAGAACUAUUGUCUAAAUGAUCUGUGGUCAUGGUGAAAAUAAAUUGAUUAAUUUAUCAUUGUCACACUUGAUUAGUUUUUAUCAAAUAAACAAGCACAACUCAUUAAAACCACAAUAAAUUUGUCAAGCCAUACUUAAAGAGUAUGUUGAUUAGUACACUUUUAAUUAUAAUAAGACUAAUGAAGUGUAACCAUAAACGAGAGCAUAUACAGAUCUCAGAAAACAUGGUAUAAUCUCUGUAUUGUACAGGAAUGUACACAUUUUCGUUUUGUAUAUACUAUAUACACACAAAAAUAAUAUACAUGUAUACAUGAUAAAAUAUUAAAAUACGAAUAAAAUAAAAACCUUAAUUGUUAUUAAAUAUUACACUCUAGGAAACAAUAACUCAUGAAAUA